UCUCUGGUGGCUCAGACGGUAAAGUGUCUGUCUACAAUGCAGGAGACCCAGGUUCGAUCCCUGGGUUGGGAA
This 72-nucleotide transfer RNA is filed under the name Bos taurus (domestic cattle). It matches the Rfam family "tRNA". From Rfam's summary of the family: Transfer RNA (tRNA) molecules are approximately 80 nucleotides in length. RNAcentral also lists the same sequence under 5 other names. Lineage: Eukaryota; Metazoa; Chordata; Mammalia; Artiodactyla; Bovidae. The record is from Rfam by way of RNAcentral.